This 460-nucleotide ribosomal RNA is filed under the name uncultured bacterium. Its description in RNAcentral is "partial 16S ribosomal RNA". It matches the Rfam family "Bacterial small subunit ribosomal RNA", at positions 338 to 795 of the family's 1533-position model. The record is from RNAcentral.
CCUACGGGAGGCAGCAGUGAGGAAUAUUGGUCAAUGGACGUAAGUCUGAACCAGCCAUGCCGCGUGCGGGAUGAAGGCUCUAUGAAUUGUAAACUUCUUUUAUACGGGAAUAAAGCUUGGUACGUGUAUUCUUCUGUAUGUACUUUACGAAUAAGGAUCGGCUAACUCCGUGCCAGCAGCCGCGGUAAUACGGAGGAUCCGAGCGUUAUCCGGAUUUAUUGGGUUUAAAGGGUGCGUAGGCGGCUUUUUAAGUUAGCGGUGAAAGGUUGUGGCUUAACAAUGGAAUUGCCUUUAAUACUGGUGAGCUAGAGAAUGUAUGAGGCAGGCGGAAUGUGUGGUGUAGCGGUGAAAUGCUUAGAGAUCACACAGAACCCCGAUUGCGAAGGCAGCCUGCCAAGCCAUGACUGACGCUGAUGCACGAAAGCGUGGGGAGCAAACAGGAUUAGAUACCCUAGUAGUC